CACUUUUUUCAUUAAAAAAAUCGUUUUUUCAUUGUUAAGCCAAAGACUUUUCAGCCCAUGUAGUACAUUGGGCGACUGCUACUAUUGCGUAAGCGGAUGUCCCGAGCCGUGGUCCGAUCACACAAAAUGCUGCAUAGAAAUGGGUCUAGCUAUGAUCAAAGCGAUCAAACAAUUCGACAUCGAAAGAAGAGAAGGUGUGAAUGAGAAUAGGUGUGCAUACGGGCACCGUGCUCUGCAGGAUCGUGGGUACGAAAUGAUUCAAGUUCAAUGUCUGGUCGAACGAUGUGACAUUGGCGAAUAAAUUUGAGAGCGGGAAACGGGAAAAUCCGGUCGUGUACACUUGAAUGAGAAUACCCUAAGAUUUCUGGAUGACCACAUCAUGGAAUAUAUUUUUUCAAUAUAUUUUAUGUAAUAUGAUUUUUCUUUUACCUAUUAUAUAAAAAUAAUAUAUUUUAAUAAGAAUCAUAUAACUUCUAGAUGCUGUUACAUAUAUUGUUAAUAUAAUUUAAUAAAGUAUAAUAAUGAACAAUA
This is an RNA transcript of Harpegnathos saltator (Jerdon's jumping ant), 531 nucleotides long. RefSeq lists it as uncharacterized. The record is from RefSeq and is a predicted model, not a curated record. The transcript has 2 exons. NCBI's taxonomy places the organism in Eukaryota, Metazoa, Arthropoda, Insecta, Hymenoptera, Formicidae.